Molecule: long non-coding RNA, 225 nt
Organism: Dendrobium catenatum
Lineage: Eukaryota; Viridiplantae; Streptophyta; Magnoliopsida; Asparagales; Orchidaceae
Exons: 3
Source: RefSeq, a predicted model, not a curated record
AGCCAAAUUCAAGAUACUCAAACCUUAGAAAAAUCAACUAUUUAAUGCAUACAAAUCAAAAGGAAUUCCCUAAACAGUCCCUACAAUCAAUUUCCCUCCUAAAAUCCAUUCAAAAACCUUCCUAUUCGGCCCUGUUUGAUCCCGGCGGGCGUGCGGGAGGCGGAACUUCCGCCUCGUGUAGCUGGGCCGGUCCCGCGUGGACCGGCUGGACCGGUCUAACAGAAU